CCAGGAGGUGCAGUCUUGGGGAUGAGAGUUCCUGGGAUGUACAGGAGGCUCCAGGAGGUGCAGUCUGUGGGAUGAGAGCCCCUGGGAUGUACAGGAGGCUCCAGGAGGUGCAGUCUGUGGGAUGAGAGCUCCUGGGAUGUACAGGAGGCUCCAGGAGGUGCAGUCUUGGGGAUGAGAGCUCCUGGGAUGUACAGGAGGCUCCAGGAGGUGCAGUCUGUGGGAUGAGAGCUCCUGGGAUGUACAGGAGGCUCCAGGAGGUGCAGUCUUGGGGAUGAGAGCUCCUGGGAUGUACAGGAGGCUCCAGGAGGUGCAGUCUUGGGGAUGAGAGCUCCUGGGAUGUACAGGAGGCUCCAGGAGGUGCAGUCUGUGGGAUGAGAGCU
Brienomyrus brachyistius is the source of this 380-nucleotide long non-coding RNA. RefSeq lists it as uncharacterized. The transcript is spliced from 4 exons. The record is from RefSeq and is a predicted model, not a curated record. Lineage: Eukaryota; Metazoa; Chordata; Actinopteri; Osteoglossiformes; Mormyridae.